RNAcentral lists this long non-coding RNA (1943 nucleotides) under Eucalyptus grandis. RNAcentral's name for it is "long non-coding RNA (EGRA_LNC000779)". The record is from RNAcentral. Lineage: Eukaryota; Viridiplantae; Streptophyta; Magnoliopsida; Myrtales; Myrtaceae.
UCCGAUUUGUGCGCGAUUUGGUGAGUAAUCUCACUAAUCCUGGAUUAGUUGGCUAAUUAUGCUUAGGGUUGGUUUAGUUUUAAUUAAUUAUGUUUAGGUUGUUAGAUUAGAAUAAAUUAGCAAUUAUUAGUCAAUUGUGAUGUGAUUUAGAUAAAUUGAUUGCGCAAUUAACAAGUAGACGUGGUCUACUAUUUAUUGGAAGUAUCUCGGAAAUUUUCCGACCCCAAAUGGGGCUUCAAUUUGGCAAUUCGGGCCUAAGUGUGAUUUUUGGCAUUUAAAUAUCAUUUUUCGGAAUUAAAUUAAUUAUUUAUUUAUUUUCCGAAAAUUCAACUGAGAUGGUCCGGAACCGGAAUUUUAUGCUGAUGACUGUGGUGAAGUCCGUUUAUUUAAUUGGACUUUAUUUUGUGCUAAAUUGAAUUUUUAAUAUUAAUUAUUUAAUUUUCGAAAUUAAUAAAUAAAUUAAUUAUUUUUCGGAAAUUAAGAUUUUGAUGGCCGACGAUCGAAAUCCCGUGCUGAUUGUCGUGGCGCGGUCCGUUUAUUUAUUUGAGCUCCAUGUUGUAUGGAAUUAAAUAAAUUGUGAUAUUUUAGAGAUUUACUCUAAAUUGAUUGGAAUUGAUUGAGACUGAAUUAUGGAUUGGUAAAUGGCGUGGUUAAAUUCUGCAAUUGAGUGUUAAAUUAUGCAAAUGGAGUGCUGAUUGGAUUCUUGGUAUUUAAUUCCAAAAUUUGUGGAUUUUGAUAUUUAUUCAGAAAAUCCCGGGUGUCGGGUUUUAACACCGAAAAUGGAUUUUUAGUACUAUAUCAAAUAGUGGGGUUUGAAAAAGAUAAGUAUCAGUCUUCUGGUUCGAAUUGACCGUGUACCCACACGACUAUUUUCGGGAUGUUUUUAAUACGAAGGAAAUAGGCCAGGAUCACUAUUUUAACGGAGGCAUUUGAGUGCAAUGCAAAGGGUCCUAGGCCGAUAUUGAGUGGCCGUGUGUUGGUUAAGAGAACCAGUCUCGAGCAAUUAUGCCGGACGUUACUAAAUCCCUUUUUGGGUUACCCAUGCAUUAGGGUAGCGGGUCGCAGUAGAUUCUGGACCUAUGCCCCUUCGGGGAAGCCGUCUAAUUGAGAGACGUUGCCGUGCUCACGGGGAGAGACGACGCCUGGCAAUGCCAGAAGACCGCCAAUAGAGUUGGCCGUACCCUUGAGGGGUGUAAUUAACAAUUGGAACGCAUGAUGGUUGAGUUUGAUGCGCCGGAUUAUGAGACAAAAUUGUGUGACAUGGAAUGGGACGUGUCAUAACGAUUUGGCCCUAUAAUCUGGACCCUUGUGAUUUAUUGAGUUGAGUGAUGCGUUUCAAUUGCUGGAUGUAUCGAUUCUAUACGUAAGGUAUGUGAAUUGUACUGACUUGCAGGUGGAAUCUGAGGCCAAGGUAAGUCAUCUGCCCUAUGCGUGUUUAGGCAGCCUAUAGUAUAAUGGUUUACUAAUCGGGCUUAGUGGGGUAGAACUCGCUGAGACGUAGUCUCAUCCCAGUUUGGGGAAAACAUUUCAGGACUCUGUUGAGGAGCUGAGGAGGAGGAGUUUGAGAAGGAGAACUCGAAGGCGAACUUGAGGAAAAUGAUUUUUGGAAGAAGAAGAUAAUUCCGAAGGGGGUUUUGAGUAUGACCCGGAUGGAUUGAGAUCCCAUCUUCUUUUGUGAACUUCAAUUGAUGUGAAUAGAGUUUAGAGUAAAAAGUUGUGAAGUGCUUUGAUUUGUGUUUUGCAUAAAAGUUUGGUUAUAAGUUUCAAUAUGAGAAAUAUGGCCAUGCUUUUCUAUCCCAUUGUUUUAUUGUCUGGGGAUUUUAAUUGCUUCCGCAUGUGCUUAAAUAAUGAAAGGGUCGGCGAUACAUAGUCCUGGGAUAUCGCAUUAUAAAAUCGACCAAGAGUAGAAGGAUGUGUGCGUGCCCGAGGAUCGGGGCGUGACA